CUAUAAGAUUGUAAGUUUGUACCGCUUGUCUGUAUGUUUUUGAUUUCACAUUGAUAUGUUUUUGUUUAUACCACAUGAGGUGGCAAAAACGCACACGGCCCACCUGAUGGUAAGUGGUUACAACCGUGGUUAAAACCGUAACCAGUACUGAUAGUCAGACAUUAAGCAUAUUCCUAAUGAUCUUACUAAAAUUUAGCCUUUAUGAAACAUCUGCCUGACAAUGGUGAAAAAUGUUGACAGAAUUACUUACAAGUUUUGAAAAUAACUAAAUUUGUUGGUUGUUCUUCUAUUUUUUUAUCUAUUUCUGCGGGGAAUAACAUAAUACAUGACGUGAUGUUUGAUUGUGUUAAAAAUAGUAGUUAUCAGCUGAAAUAUUUAGGACAAAUUCAGAUAGAUAAAUAUAUAAAAAUGAUGCUAUGGCACCUGAUUCUAACCUAUCAGUGGAUGGAUAACCUAUCAGUCCUACGCACGAGCGCUCCGUGUGUGGACUUCUGUUAUUAUUAUUAUUCGAAAAUUGUAUACAUGUGCUAAUCGCGGCAAAAAAUGGUGCAGUGCAAAAAGUGUAAACUGUUUUUAUCAAUGACUAAGGAUGAGGUAUUAAAAUGCAAAGGUGGGUGUGAAAGUGUUUAUCACAAGAAAUGUGUUAGAAGCUCGAAGCAAUUGCAAAGCGAAAUAUGUGAGGAGUGCCAAAAGACUAACACAACAAUGCAGUCGCCGAUUAUUGACACCGACACUGAAAAGAUUACAGUAGAAACACUAUUGAAAGAAAUGAACAAGAAGAUAGAGGUUAUAUUUAAACUAGAAAAAAAUAUUGAUGACCUUGUGGAAACUGUAGACUUUUACGCUGAACAAUACCAAGAAAUGCUGGAAUUUAAAAAGAUCGCGGAAAUCAAGAUAAAAGCGUUAGAACAAAGAAACGUAUACAUUGAGCAAUGCAAUGCUGCAUUAGAAGAACGAGUUAUUAGCCUGGAAAAGAAGGAAAAAGAAAAAAAUGUUGAAAUUGCGUGCCUAAUGAAGAACAAAAACAAUGAAAACAUAAAGGAAGUAGUAAAAGAUGUUGCCGUAAAGCUGAGUUUAAACCCAGAUGAUAUAGAAAGUGUAGAGAGGUUAAGCUCACCAAUCACAACAAAAGUGAGGGUAGCUCGACCAAGCCCGAUUAUAGUGAAGCUGCGAUCCAAGCAAGCCCGAGAUCAAUGGCUCCAGAAACGAAAAGUUCACCUAACUAAUGGCGAUAUAUAUGGAAACGGAAACAAAACGCGCAUAUACCUAAAUGAAGAUUUAACCAAAGGAACCCGCUCGUUAUUCUGGGAAACCAGAAAUCAACUAAAGAACUUGUAUAAAUUCAUAUGGACUCAAAACUCAAAUAUAUUAGUAAAAAAAAGCGAAAACGAAAAAAUUAUACGCAUAAGAAAUGAAAACGACAUUAAAGUCUUGUUAUGCGAUGAAAGAAAAAAUAACAAGGAUAACGAAAACUAAGUAGAUCAACAAUAAUAACACACCAUGGAGCACACUACGCGAUUUCCAUAACAGACAAAUACGAUAACCAAAACAUUGGAUUGGACUUAAAGGACAUUGAAUACGCUAAAUAUGAAAAUUUACACACCUGGUCACAACAAUUCUUGAGUAGCGAUACUAAUAUUAUACAUCUGAACAUUCGUUCUAUACGAAAACACUUUAACGAGUUGCUUGCCCUAUUGAGUUACUGUAUAGCGAAAAGAACAUUAAACGUCAUUGUUCUCACAGAAGUCAAUAUAAAGAGUGAAGAAGUACCGUUUUAUAGGAUCCCUGGUUAUGUGGUGUUUCCUAAUACGAGAGAAACAAAAAGAGGUGGUGGGAUACUGGUAUUCGUAAGAGAUGACCUGCAAUUCACUACACGAACACCCCAAAUACCUCUAAAAGCAACAGAGAUAACGCAUGGAGUACUAAAAACCAAGAUUAAAAAUGUACACAUAUUAUCCAUAUACAGACCACCAAACACAAAUAAGUUAAUUUUCAUCAAGGAACUGGACGAAAUACUAACAUUGAUCCCAUCUACAGAAGAAAUAAUAUUAAUUGGAGAUAUUAACAUUGACAUAUCUCAAGAUAUAAGUACGAGUUUAUGUGCCUACAAGAACGUGUUGUGUAAAAACGGGCUACGAAGCGCGAUACCGACGUCAGAGUCGACGCGCGAGGCGCUCGUGGACGGCCGCCGAGUUACCUCUUCCAAUAUUGACCAUGUGUGCGUGCGAGCAAACGGGCGACCGCUCGACGCGCGCGCGCACUUGCUAACUUGUACCUUAUCAGAUCACUAUAUGGUUGGAAUUAGCUUGAGCACAACUGAUAAUCCUGCAACUACCCACAAAAUAUAUAGAGCCCUAAUGGAGUAUGUUGUUUUCGCUAAUCUACCUUUGGAACACAUACAAGGAGUGCCAAUGCGUCGACUCCUCCGAGGUAUAGGACCAAGGCAUGAAUCCGUAGAUAUCGAAUCUUUCAAAAAAUAUGUUAACGACGAUGAGUAUGAAAAUAUUUUGGGUAAAGUGAAAGAAGAAAUAAGGAAAAAUCAUUAUGUGUCACUUACUGCUUACAUUUGGAAAGACCCCACCUCCACCAACAAUAUAUUAAUCAUCAGUAACCACGGAUUGUCCGAAACAUUUGAGCGAUCUUCUAUGAUAUUAAAAUGCGCCAUUUUUGACGAAAAUGCUCCUGGGGAUGUUGUUUCAGAAAUAUUGAAGACAGUGUGUACCGACCUAAACAUUUCUACCAAACAAGUCCAUUGCAUGAUUCGAGACGAGAGAUCUUCUCUGAAAAGAGUCACGGAACCGGUAUUACCAAUUCAAGAUUUGGAUUGUACUAUUCAUAAAAUACAAACUAUUAUACGAGAAACAUUUCUAUCCGAAGAAAAUAUAACAGUUUUUAAACGAAAAUUUGAUGAAAUUUCGGAGAAUUCUACUACAAAAAGUUUAUCACAAGACAUUAAAGAAGCACUCAACCUGAAUGCAACUGACUGGGAGAGUACGUUUAUCAAGUUUAAGACUCUUUUUUCAAUGGCAGCAAAUUAUUCCAUUAAAACUGGUAAUCUUACCUCGACUUUGGAAGAAAAGUGGGUAGAAACCCGUGAUGACGUCAUGAAAUGUUUUGAUUUAGCCAAUUAUAUGUAUGACUCUCAGGAAUUUUUAUCAUCAAUGUAUCCAAUUUUUAAAGCAAUCACGAUUAGUCUCACUAAAUAUUUGGCACUAUUGCCAGAAGCUAAUAUUUUUGGGGCAGCACUCACAAGUCUAAAAACAAAAUUUGAAACGACAUUGUCUUCUUUGGAACAUAACAAUGUGUAUUUAAUUGCUACAUUUUUAGAUCCCCGUUAUAAGUUUAUAGAAUCAAAUAAUAAUAUUCGAGAUCAAAUUUUACAAAUGGCAAAUACUGAUGAUGGGAUGGAUAUUAUUCCUUCUCCUAACGUGGAAAAUGUGCAAAAGAGAAAAAUAGAUUCCUCUGACUCAGACAUGGCAACACCGAAUAAAAUCAGCAAAGAAUCAGAAAGUAAUGUGUUAAAAAAGUAUUUGAGUAAAUCUGGAGAUGUAACAAUGGACCAAAAAAGCCGCGUUCUGUUAAAGGAAAUAUUUGAUUAUGAAGAUAUGCCGUCUCUCGAUUAUGAUGAAGAUCCACUCGAGUGGUGGAAAAAUUAUGGUCAUAAGUUUAAAAACCUCUCCACGUUUGCUCGUAGGUUUUUGGCACCUCCAGCGGCGAGUGUGGUCAAUGAGCAACUGUUUGGGGAAGGUGGGAGUUUAGAGCUGAAUUCGAAACUAAAGUAUAUAUUUAUGAAACAUAACAUUGUAACAUUUAAUUUUAAUUAUUAAUUAGUAUAUUGUAAUGCUCCAGUAGUUCAAUAAAUCAAAUUUUAUUCUU
RNA transcript from Spodoptera frugiperda (fall armyworm), 3876 nucleotides. RefSeq lists it as uncharacterized. The record is from RefSeq and is a predicted model, not a curated record. Lineage: Eukaryota; Metazoa; Arthropoda; Insecta; Lepidoptera; Noctuidae. The transcript has 2 exons.